This is a non-coding RNA of Malus domestica (apple), 433 nucleotides long. The record is from RefSeq and is a predicted model, not a curated record. Lineage: Eukaryota; Viridiplantae; Streptophyta; Magnoliopsida; Rosales; Rosaceae.
AAAAAUUUGCAUCCACAAACAAGACUGGGGAGUUUUAUCACAUAUGAAGAUGUUUCAAAAAUGAAAUACACAAACAAGGUGGUGGAAGAAACAAUAAGAUUGGCCAACGUUGCAGCAUUUGUUUUCCGAUUGGCUACUAAGGAAGUUGAGUAUAAAGGUUAUAAAAUACCCAAGGAUUGGAGAGUGAUUGUUUGGGUUCGAUAUAUCCACACAAAUUCAGAGAAUUUUGAUGAUCCCAUGUGCUUCAACCCAGAUAGAUGGAAUGAAUCAGCUAAGCUCUGAACAUACCAAGUUUUUGGUGGUGGAUCGAGAAUAUGUGUAGGAAACUUGCUUGUCAAGAUACAACUUGCAGUAUUUUUACAUCAUUUGUCUAUAGGAUACAAGUAAGGAAACUCAAUUUGAAGCGUUACUAUAUAUUUUUUAUGCUAUUAAA